CAUCUGUUUCCUGAGAGCCUACUAUGCAUCAGGCAGUUUGAUGGGGCUAUCGAGAUGGACAAGGCAAUGUCUCAGAGAGGGAAUCAGAAUUGUAAAUACUGCCAUUGCGAGAGCAGCCUAUCGUGGAGAGCGCAUAUACGAACUACAAAACCCAGCCUGCUCUGCGCCUACCAAUAGAAAUGCGGCAGGUGCAGGUGGCCGCACUGCAUUCUGGAGCCUGCAGUCUCCCGAGGAUUCCAUUGUGCCUACAAUUUUGUAAGGGUACUAAUAAAAAAGAGGUGUGUA
Long non-coding RNA from Herpailurus yagouaroundi (jaguarundi), 285 nucleotides. RefSeq lists it as uncharacterized. Lineage: Eukaryota; Metazoa; Chordata; Mammalia; Carnivora; Felidae. The transcript is spliced from 2 exons. The record is from RefSeq and is a predicted model, not a curated record.